CUACGGGUCGCACCAGUGAGGAAUUUUGCGCAAUGGGGGUAACCCUGACGCAGCAACGCCGCGUGAGUGAUGAAGGCUUUCGGGUCGUAAAGCUCUGUCAAGUGGGAAGAAUAUACGAAAUGCUAAUACCAUUUUGUACUGACGGUACCACUGAAGGAAGCACCGGCUAACUCCGUGCCAGCAGCCGCGGUAAUACGGGGGGUGCAAGCGUUAUUCGGAAUUAUUGGGCGUAAAGAGCACGUAGGCGGCCGCUUAAGUCAGAUGUGAAAGCCCGGGGCUAAACCCCGGAAGUGCAUUUGAAACUAAGUGGCUUGAGUAUGGGAGAGGGAAGUGGAAUUCCUGGUGUAGAGGUGAAAUUCGUAGAUAUCAGGAGGAACACCGGUGGCGAAGGCGACUUCCUGGACCAAUACUGACGCUGAGGUGCGAAGGCGUGGGGAGCAAACAGGAUUAGAUACCCGUGUAGUC
RNAcentral lists this ribosomal RNA (465 nucleotides) under uncultured bacterium. RNAcentral's name for it is "partial 16S ribosomal RNA". It matches the Rfam family "Bacterial small subunit ribosomal RNA", at positions 339 to 795 of the family's 1533-position model. The record is from RNAcentral.